The sequence is a small RNA, 119 nucleotides long. It matches the Rfam family "RNA Staph. aureus E (RoxS)". Rfam says of the family: It was shown to be regulated by the presence of nitric oxide (NO). In Bacillus subtilis it controls expression of genes with functions related to oxidative stress and oxidation-reduction reactions and it was renamed RoxS (for related to oxidative stress). The record is from Rfam.
GUGAAAUUAAUCACAAACAAACAUUUACCCCUUUGUUUGACCGUGAAAAAUUUCUCCCAUCCCCUUUGUUGUCGUUAAGACAUACAGAAGACUCCGUAUUACCCGUGCGGAGUCUUUUU